Molecule: long non-coding RNA, 212 nt
Filed under: Lathyrus oleraceus (garden pea)
Lineage: Eukaryota; Viridiplantae; Streptophyta; Magnoliopsida; Fabales; Fabaceae
Description: Pisum sativum (pea) long non-coding RNA (PSAT_LNC024510)
Source: RNAcentral
AAAAUUGAUGAAUUGAGAAAAAGAAAGAAAAAUAAAAAUCAAAUACUCGAUGAUUCAAAAGAAAGAAGCACGAAAAAGGGCAGUCGGUAAAAAUUCAAUAAGAAAAUAAAAUCGAGGAAAUAAAAGAAACAAAUACAGGAUGUAACAUCGACUCUGAACCAAAAGCCCCUUGUUUUCUUUUUUUUAAUCCAUACCCUAACCCAAGCCAAGCU